GCCGAGUUGAGUAACAACAACUUGUAACCCAAGUGGGGGCAACAAAGUGAUGGGACAUGGCUUUGGCUUGUCAAGUUGGGCUGAUUGGUGCAUUAUGCUGGCCUGCCCACUCCAAGUUGAGAGUUGGAUCAUGGGGUUUGGACGAAGGCCCAGAUCUCCUGGUCCCUAGAAUGGAGGGAACCGCAUGAGGCUGGCUUCACAGAGCAGUGUACACCUCCUACUCUCGACAGUGGAGGGAUAACAGGCUGCUGCGUCUUCAACCCACAUAGCUUGGUGAGCCUAGCCCAUUGAACCAUCACUUUU
RNAcentral lists this signal recognition particle RNA (303 nucleotides) under Trifolium pratense (red clover). RNAcentral describes it as "SRP RNA Plant_SRP". It matches the Rfam family "Plant signal recognition particle RNA". The record is from RNAcentral. Lineage: Eukaryota; Viridiplantae; Streptophyta; Magnoliopsida; Fabales; Fabaceae.